AGCGCAGGUGGUUUAUUAAGUCUGGUGUAAAAGGCAGUGGCUCAACCAUUGUAUGCAUUGGAAACUGGUAGACUUGAGUGCAGGAGAGGAGAGUGGAAUUCCAUGUGUAGCGGUGAAAUGCGUAGAUAUAUGGAGGAACACCGGUGGCGAAAGCGGCUCUCUGGCCUGUAACUGACACUGAGGCUCGAAAGCGUGGGAGCAAACA
This 205-nucleotide ribosomal RNA is filed under the name uncultured bacterium. RNAcentral's name for it is "partial 16S ribosomal RNA". It matches the Rfam family "Bacterial small subunit ribosomal RNA", at positions 568 to 774 of the family's 1533-position model. The record is from RNAcentral.